GAUGAACGCUAGCGGCAGGCCUAACACAUGCAAGUCGAGGGGUAACAGUGGUGCUUGCACCAGCUGACGACCGGCGCACGGGUGCGGAACGCGUAUGGAACCUGCCCCUAUCAAGGGAAUAGCCCGUGGAAACGCGGAUUAAUGCUCUAUAGUAUUAAUUGAUUGCAUAAUUAAUUAAUUAAAGAUUUAUCGGAUAGGGAUGGCCAUGCGUAUCAUUAGUUAGUUGGUAAGGUAACGGCUUACCAAGGCAGCGAUGAUUAGGGGCCCUGAGAGGGGGAUCCCCCACACUGGUACUGAGACACGGACCAGACUCCUACGGGAGGCAGCAGUGAGGAAUAUUGGACAAUGGUCGAGAGACUGAUCCAGCCAUGCCGCGUGCAGGAUGACUGCCCUAUGGGUUGUAAACUGCUUUUUUACAGGAAGAAACCUACUUACGUGUAAGUAGCUGACGGUACUGUACGAAUAAGGACCGGCUAACUCCG
Molecule: ribosomal RNA, 482 nt
Filed under: uncultured Flavobacteriaceae bacterium
Lineage: Bacteria; Pseudomonadati; Bacteroidota; Flavobacteriia; Flavobacteriales; Flavobacteriaceae
Description: bacterial SSU rRNA
Rfam family: Bacterial small subunit ribosomal RNA
Source: RNAcentral